Molecule: ribosomal RNA, 515 nt
Filed under: uncultured Hanseniaspora
Lineage: Eukaryota; Fungi; Ascomycota; Saccharomycetes; Saccharomycodales; Saccharomycodaceae
Description: eukaryotic LSU rRNA
Rfam family: Eukaryotic large subunit ribosomal RNA
Source: RNAcentral
AACCAACCGGAUUGCCUCAGUAACGGCGAGUGAAGCGGCAAAAGCUCAAAUUUGAAAUCUGGCACUUUCAGUGUCCGAGUUGUAAUUUGUAGAAGUAGUUUUGGGACUGGUCCUUAUCUAUGUUUCUUGGAACAGGACGUCAUAGAGGGUGAGAACCCCGUAUGAUGAGGCCCCCAGUCCUUUGUAAAACGCUUUCGAAGAGUCGAGUUGUUUGGGAAUGCAGCUCUAAGUGGGUGGUAAAUUCCAUCUAAAGCUAAAUAUUGGCGAGAGACCGAUAGCGAACAAGUACAGUGAUGGAAAGAUGAAAAGAACUUUGAAAAGAGAGUGAAAAAGUACGUGAAAUUGUUGAAAGGGAAGGGCAUUUGAUCAGACAUGGUGUUUUUGCAUGCACUCGCCUCUCGUGGGCUUGGGCCUCUCAAAAAUUUCACUGGGCCAACAUCAAUUCUGGCAGCAGGAUAAAUCAUUAAGAAUGUAGCUACUUCGGUAGUGUUAUAGCUUUUUUGGAAUACUGUUAC